AUGAAGCUGUUGUACUCUGCUUUCUCAAUUCAAUAUGCUGCAAUAAGAUCAUCAGAUGUCUCCAAAUUAUCCAAUGACUUGCCUCCCAAUCUGCUUUUUCUUCGCGGUACCACUCAAGGCUCCAAUGUUAUCAACAUGUCAGUGACCAGCACAAAGAAAAAAAUUGCUUCUAGCAGUUCAAGUCAAAGUCCUAGAUUUGAGUAUGGCAGACUGAUUGCAUCACAGACCCAUCUCUAAACCAAACACUGGGCACAGGGAAGAAGGAAUAUGUAGAAUUCUCAAGUUAGUCAUAAACCCAUGCAGAAGUAGCCCCUAAACCAGAGUGAUUUGGUAAUUUUACUGAUCUUAUCUGGAUUAUUUUUAAUUUCCUCCUUUCUCUCAUCCUCAACAACACAUUGAGGUCACAAUCGUUUCUUCUGUCUCUUCAGUCAAUUCCUUCUCUUCUAAUGACACUAAUACUGCCUUAAUUCAAAUUGUCAUUAAGGUUUUGUCUGAAACAAUAGCUAGAGACAUAGCUAGAGAGAUCUCAUUGUCUCCAGUCUUCUCUCUAAACUAUUCUUUAUAUUGUUGCCACUGUGGUAGACUUUAAACCCAUUUUUCAUUGUCUACUGCCCUAUACCAAUGAGUCCAUCCAUCCCUUUAAGAUCUAUCCUUUAUUUUUUCAUGUCAAAUUCUGCCUUCUUUAAGAUCAACAUUGUUCUCUUCUAUUAUCACAUAUUUUUCUCUACUUUCAUUAUAUAGCCUGUCUUUAUAUUAGGUUUUAGAUGCCUAUAUCUUCUACUAGACUGAGUAUCUAGAGAAUAUGAACCAUGUUAUUCAUCUUUAUAUUGACAAUAGUACUGAACAUGACAUGUUGCUCCAGGCAAGUUUUCAAUAAACGUUAGCCAAAUUUAACCACCAAAGUGCUGAAUUAUCCAAUAUAAACCAAAUGUGUUUUAAGAAUGUAAUCUUGGCCAAAGUAUGCAAGGAAAGGCAAAUAUAUCACUACGUAAGAUUUUAUAACCCUAUUACCUAGGAGGUACAGGUAGGUCUCAGUGUCUAGUCAGUAUCAGGAGACAGUUCUCCAUAGGUCUCCUGCAUUUCUUUAAAUCUUGCAAAUUAGACACUGAAUGCUUCUAUUCUGAUCUAUCUUUUCAAUAAUGCUUUCCUUGAAAACAUAUAUCUUUGGAAGACAGAGAUACUGCCUCCCUCCGGAGUAAAACCUAAGCUUGUUUAUGGUGUAGUACAAAACAUUCAGGUUUCCUCAGCUUAGAGAUUCUCCCUUGCACUGCAUGUGUGGGUGUCAUCAGACUUGACCCUCUUCAUAGCAUUUUGUGAGAACUACAAAAUGCAACCAAUGUGAGGAAAUACUGAUGCUCUGGAUACUGCUAUUGCUGAGAGAAAUAAAGCCUUUGCCU
RNAcentral lists this long non-coding RNA (1397 nucleotides) under Papio anubis (olive baboon). RNAcentral's name for it is "lncRNA (ENSPANG00000036462.2)". The record is from RNAcentral. Lineage: Eukaryota; Metazoa; Chordata; Mammalia; Primates; Cercopithecidae.